GCCGACGUAGCUCAAUUCGGCAGAGCAGCUCACUUGUAAUGAGCAGGUUGUCGGUUCGAGUCCGACCGUCGGCUCUA
RNAcentral lists this transfer RNA (77 nucleotides) under Chloroflexota bacterium. RNAcentral's name for it is "Chloroflexi bacterium tRNA-Thr". It matches the Rfam family "tRNA". From Rfam's summary of the family: Transfer RNA (tRNA) molecules are approximately 80 nucleotides in length. Their secondary structure includes four short double-helical elements and three loops (D, anti-codon, and T loops). Further hydrogen bonds mediate the characteristic L-shaped molecular structure. tRNAs have two regions of fundamental functional importance: the anti-codon, which is responsible for specific mRNA codon recognition, and the 3' end, to which the tRNAs corresponding amino acid is attached (by aminoacyl-tRNA synthetases). tRNAs cope with the degeneracy of the genetic code in two manners: having more than one tRNA (with a specific anti-codon) for a particular amino acid; and 'wobble' base-pairing, i.e. permitting non-standard base-pairing at the 3rd anti-codon position. Lineage: Bacteria; Bacillati; Chloroflexota. The record is from RNAcentral.